Molecule: long non-coding RNA, 628 nt
Organism: Homo sapiens (human)
Lineage: Eukaryota; Metazoa; Chordata; Mammalia; Primates; Hominidae
Source: Ensembl
GAAGUUAAAUUUGAGAUAUUAAAAAACGAAGAAAUACUGCUUACUACACAGUUGGACUCUCUUAAAAGACUUAUAAAAGAAAAACAGGAUGAAGUUGUCUAUUACGAUCCAUGUGAAAGUCCAGAGGAACUUAGUCAUUGACUGUGGUGGGGCUGCAGGACGAUAAGAAUUCGGAAGUGAAAGAACUCAGAAGGCAGUGCCAGCAGCUGGAGUCUGUUAAACGGGGCAGUCUGUGUCAAAAGAGCUUCUCUCCAGAGUAGAAAGAUGACAUGGCAUAAUUAGGCAAACGGCUAGGCAUUUUCUCAGCAGUAAAUUACCAGUGCCCUUACUUGCCAUGAUACCCACAACAGGCAGAGGCAGUUUCCUGAGGCAAUCCAGGCCACAAAGAACUGUACAUUUGGGGAAAACAUAUCUUCAAAUAUAUAUGUUAAACUCUAAAAAAUUGGUUAGUAUGUAUUACUUUUGUGGAUACUUAAACAUUCCCUAUGCAUAAAGACCUAGUUAAAGAGAUGCAGGCUUUUGGCAUGUUAAAUAACUCCUUGAUGAGAAAUCACACUAUGAAUAAUAAAUAUGACUUAAUAAAAAUGAAAAAUAAUGAGAUUAGUUACUAUUGAACUAUUCUUGCUUA